AGGGUUUAGGGUUUAGGGUUUAGG
This 24-nucleotide non-coding RNA is filed under the name Arabidopsis thaliana (thale cress). The record is from RNAcentral. Lineage: Eukaryota; Viridiplantae; Streptophyta; Magnoliopsida; Brassicales; Brassicaceae. RNAcentral also lists the same sequence under 1 other name.